Molecule: long non-coding RNA, 1423 nt
Organism: Oncorhynchus gorbuscha (pink salmon)
Lineage: Eukaryota; Metazoa; Chordata; Actinopteri; Salmoniformes; Salmonidae
Exons: 3
Source: RefSeq, a predicted model, not a curated record
CAUGAAAAUAAAGAAAUUAUUUGAGGAACAGCACCCAAACCGAAAAACAAAAGUGAUCUAUACUGUUCUAGAACAGAACCUCUAUUUUAAAAGCAUGGGAAACAGUUAAUGACGUUAAUUUACAUUCAGGGCAUUUUUUUCUGUCCCACAAAAAUGAGCAAAAAAAAAAAACACCUAUGCAAAAGCCCUCACUCUGUCAAAAACAAUGUUAUAUCAAAGUACUGCCUUUGAUUUGACAGCCUACACAUGCGCAGUUUACCGUUAGAUCCGAUAACGUGUUUUUACGCAUGAGUUUAGAUCGGGGAUUUCAAUUCAUGCUUAUCGUCAUACUGUUCUGUCUUUGGCUGUAUUCUUUUCGAGUCAAAACCCUUCGCCGGAGACCGUAUCCCAUAACAUAUUGCGACACAAAAAUCUCUGUAUCAACGAUGGACAGAAGUUCACACUUGGAAUAACCUUGUGAAAUGUAAUUAUUACGUGGACAGCUGGCAACGGAUGUGUUCAUUUCACUCCAUAGCAUCGGUUUGGCAGGACAUAACAGUCAUAUCCUACUGGUUUGGAGCUCGUGUUGCACCAUUGCAUAUGAAGACAAUUUUUUUAAAUGAUCAAUUAAAAAUAAAUCGGUGACAACUUGAUCAAGCCUAUGAAUAUGCAAAACUGUUUACAGAACCAUUGCACAUGAAUAAAGGUAGUUGUGGUUCUCACAACUUGAACCAGCACUCGAAUCUGAGCAGUGAGUUUAGUCAGGAGAUUUUUCAGCAGUGCGCAACAUCCCUGUUAGAUAGAGAAUAAAGUGUGGAUCUACUUCUGUCAUACAGAAUUGUCAGCUCAUUCUACAAUAAAGAUGUGGGCGAUUUGUGUCCCAGGGUGUGUGCAAGUUUUUAUUCCUGCCCAGCACAAACACCUUGUUCAACUAUCCAUGGUCUACAACUGAGACAACAAUGUUGGAGGUUCAUCUCCUUCAUUUGUCCCCCACUUGGGGAUGACUUAUUCUGUACAAUGGACUGUGUUCUAAAGGAUUCAUGCACAGAUACAGGAAAACCAAUAAGUGGUCAUAUUUAUUUUUAAAAAUGACAAGUGUUGAUGUCUCGCCAUUCUCCUGGUUUUGAAGCUUGGGCAUCAGGGGGCUGUAGUUCAUCUUUCUAAUACCCUUCAAGGAGAGAAAGGCAAUAAUAGUACAAUAGUGUAUUCAUUUAAUGUAAUACAUUAUUGUUUUAUAUGCAUGCAAAUAAUUCAAUUGGACAUGUUAUCCUUUACAAUAUGCCAGUGAUUGUUUUGUAUCCAAUGCAUUUAGCUUACAUUAGGAUGAAGUAGCCUAGGCCUUCUAAUCGCGUUUAUAUUGCAUCAUAUCGCCUAGCAAUAUUAGUUAUCAAUGCAUGAGUUGAAUAUAAACCAAGCUAUCUUGACCAUCAGAGUCGUUUAAUAA